UCGCUUUGGCAGCACAUAUACUAAAAUUGGAAUGAUACAGAGAACAUUAACAUGGCCCCUGCUCAAGAAUGACAUACAGGCCGGGCGCGGUGGCUCAAGCCUGU
This is a small nuclear RNA of Sapajus apella (tufted capuchin), 104 nucleotides long. NCBI's taxonomy places the organism in Eukaryota, Metazoa, Chordata, Mammalia, Primates, Cebidae. The record is from RefSeq and is a predicted model, not a curated record.